GCCCUCGAUGGCUCAGAUGGAUAGAGCGUCUGCCCUGUAAGCAGGAGAUCCCCCCGGGUUCGAGUCCCGAUCGGGGCA
Non-coding RNA from Schistocerca serialis cubense, 78 nucleotides. NCBI's taxonomy places the organism in Eukaryota, Metazoa, Arthropoda, Insecta, Orthoptera, Acrididae. The record is from the annotation of a RefSeq genome assembly.